GGUCGUAUCGUCUUUUAUAUUUAUUUAAACGACUCGCCCAAAAUUCAGGUGUCACAUUAGUAUACGCAUUUUUAGUAGAUGUAGUAUCCUUUUUUAUGGUGGAAGAAGAUGUGCUGUUUCUAGAGGCGUGUCCUUUCGUGGGGUUCAUUCUGAAGUCGAUAUGUCUGUGUCGUAUCGAUUUGACUGUUAGCUUACGUUGGCAUUUUGGUACUUUAAUAAUUUCUGUGAAUCACUUUUCAUUUAUAUUCGAAUUCAUCUUUAUGACAGUCUCCUGUUUUAUUAGAAUUUGAAAGCUAACAGAACGUUUGGGCUAAAUCCUCUUUCUAUUCUCGCAUAACCUAAUAAUUGACAGGUUGUCAAGUGCUUUACUGUUUAUUUCCUACUUACUCUUUGGUAGACUAAGGGGCUAUUCUAAUUUCACGCGGACCCCUAACUGAGCUCACGGGUUCAACCUGAGUUAAUUGUCAACACUGGCCCUAGCAGAAUCAGUGCUUCUCUGAAUCUACCACCGGGUCGGAAUCGUGACGCAUCGAGAAGAUCCUGCGAGAAACACAGUGGUCACUGAAUCUAGAGGCACGUGGCACGUUUCUUCCGUGGCAUCGGUGGUCGCAACACUCGCCGCGAUGAUUGCAGCUAUUAAGAUGAGUCACGCUCAACGACGCGACUCAGCACCGCCUAUUUUAUCAAUAGAGAUCGGUGAUUUGAAGAUUUCAGCUCUUUCACAAUCACACCAUACCGAAUGUUUCCAUCAUUGUGAAUUUUGUAAUAACAAUUAAAUUUAUUAUCUAUACUAA
Bombyx mori (domestic silkworm) is the source of this 794-nucleotide long non-coding RNA. RefSeq lists it as uncharacterized. The record is from RefSeq and is a predicted model, not a curated record. NCBI's taxonomy places the organism in Eukaryota, Metazoa, Arthropoda, Insecta, Lepidoptera, Bombycidae. The transcript has 2 exons.